AGGUGUCCAGAAGUGAUCUAAUGGAUGUUCUAAGCAAGGGCAAAGUCUAGGAGAGACUUAGAAGAGUCUUGAGGAGCAAAUGGGCGAGUGUGCAAAGAUAGGGCGAGGCUGUACGGACAUGUACGGACUGGUACGGCCCGAGAGAUCACAACUCGCCCAUUUGAGAUGUUUUGAGAUGGUGCAAAGUCCGGGACAAGAUGUGCAAGCUUAGGGCAUGAUCAGAACAUGUCCCGGAGGCUUUGUACAAUCUUAGGGUGUUGGGAGAAGCAUCUGGUCAUGAGGAAUCAUUUGGGCAUCAAGAAGAUGCUGUUUGGAUAAGGGAAGUGGUCCCUGAUUGUGAUUGGCUGUAAGUGGUCCAAAGACAGGCUGGAUAGAGCUGUUAAAGGAAGAGCAAGUUGGCUAUGAACCUGGACAGUUUUAUGGACAGAUUCAGGUGGUAAUGCUGGUGCAUUCAUAGCCACUCUUCCCCUUAUCCAAUCAGGCGUCACUACACAGCUCACCAUCUCUCCUAGAUUGAUCCAAGCCAUCCAAUUCAAACCAGAACAUCUCCAUCCUUCAAGUCUUAUACAUUUACUUUAGGGUUUCAUUAAUUUGUAACCUGAUUGUAUAAAAAGACCCUUAAGGGACGUUUUGUAAUCUCUAAGGAGAGAGUGUGGGGUUUUCCCUCCUCCUUCAUCAAUGAAAGGGUUUUGAAAACCAGAAACAAAAAUCUAUUCUCUAGUCUUAAUCUCUCAGUCUCUCAGUCUCUCGGUCUCAUAAUCUCUGUUUCUAAGUCUCUUAUUCUCUCAUAAACACUCACAUCAAUCUCCCUUUCUAAAUAACCUAGAGCAAGCUCUCAUCUUUCUCCAUUGGAGUUUAUACACACACAAACACAACCAGAGAAGAUAACUCUACAAAUCUCACACCAUCAAGCCUCUCUUAUGUAGAUUCCAGAGCUCUGUAGAUCCCUUCUACUAUCUGAUCUAUCUCUGCCCUGGUGUGAAAAUCUGGUUGAGACUUUAUCGAAUGUGGGUGUGGUGGGUUGGCGUCGACCGAUGCUGAUGUGCGGUUGUCGACCGAUGUGUGUAAGUGGUUG
Molecule: long non-coding RNA, 1075 nt
Filed under: Brassica napus (rape)
Lineage: Eukaryota; Viridiplantae; Streptophyta; Magnoliopsida; Brassicales; Brassicaceae
Description: long non-coding RNA (BNAP_LNC015601)
Source: RNAcentral